UACGUAGGGGGCAAGCGUUGUCCGGAUUUAUUGGGCGUAAAGAGCGUGUAGGCGGCCUGACAGGUCUGCUGUGAAAACUCGAGGCUCAACCUCGAGAUGUCGGCGGAAACCGUCUGGCUAGAGUCCGGAAGAGGAGAGUGGAAUUCCUGGUGUAGCGGUGAAAUGCGCAGAUAUCAGGAAGAACACCUAUGGCGAAGGCAGCUCUCUGGGACGGUACUGACGCUGAGACGCGAAAGCGUGGGGAGCGAACAGG
RNAcentral lists this ribosomal RNA (253 nucleotides) under uncultured bacterium. RNAcentral's name for it is "partial 16S ribosomal RNA". It matches the Rfam family "Bacterial small subunit ribosomal RNA", at positions 524 to 776 of the family's 1533-position model. RNAcentral also lists the same sequence under 3 other names. The record is from RNAcentral.